This 95-nucleotide transfer RNA is filed under the name Granulibacter bethesdensis CGDNIH2. RNAcentral describes it as "tRNA-Leu (AAG) (tRNA-Leu-AAG-1-1)". Lineage: Bacteria; Pseudomonadati; Pseudomonadota; Alphaproteobacteria; Acetobacterales; Acetobacteraceae. The record is from RNAcentral.
GGGCAUAAAUGUGAGGUAAAUCAAUGCCCUAAGAUGGUAUUUUCCCCGCCUUGACAUGGCGGGGGUCACAGGUUCAAUCCCUGUCGCGCCCACCA